UACGGAGGAUCCAAGCGUUAUCCGGAAUCAUUGGGUUUAAAGGGUCCGUAGGCGGUUUUUUAAGUCAGUGGUGAAAGCCCAUCGCUCAACGGUGGAACGGCCAUUGAUACUGCAAGACUUGAAUUAUUGGGAAGUAACUAGAAUAUGUAGUGUAGCGGUGAAAUGCUUAGAGAUUACAUGGAAUACCAAUUGCGAAGGCAGGUUACUACCAAUAUAUUGACGCUGAUGGACGAAAGCGUGGGGAGCGAACAGG
Molecule: ribosomal RNA, 253 nt
Filed under: uncultured bacterium
Lineage: Bacteria
Description: partial 16S ribosomal RNA
Rfam family: Bacterial small subunit ribosomal RNA
Source: RNAcentral